Molecule: ribosomal RNA, 449 nt
Filed under: uncultured bacterium
Lineage: Bacteria
Description: partial 16S ribosomal RNA
Rfam family: Bacterial small subunit ribosomal RNA
Source: RNAcentral
AACGAACGCUGGCGACAUGCCUAACACAUGCAAGUCGAACGAGAUCUUCGGGUCUAGUGGCGCACGGGUGCGUAACGCGUGGGAAUCUGCCCUUUGGUUCGGAAUAACAGUUGGAAACGACUGUUAAUACCGGAUGAUGACGAAAGCCCAAAGAUUUAUCGCCAGAGGAUGAGCCCGCGUAGGAUUAGCUAGUUGGUGUGGUAAAGGCGCACCAAGGCGACGAUCCUUAGCUGGUCUGAGAGGAUGAUCAGCCACACUGGGACUGAGACACGGCCCAGACUCCUACGGGAGGCAGCAGUGGGGAAUAUUGGACAAUGGGCGAAAGCCUGAUCCAGCAAUGCCGCGUGAGUGAUGAAGGCCUUAGGGUUGUAAAGCUCUUUUACCCGGGAUGAUAAUGACAGUACCGGGAGAAUAAGCUCCGGCUAACUCCGUGCCAGCCGCCGCGGUAA